AGCCCAAUAGCUAGCCUAAACAAACAAGACCAACAACCAAACAUUAAUAACCCCUAACACCCUCCAAAAAACUAAACAAACCAUUUUCCCCCUUUAGUAUAGGAGAUAGAAAAAGAAAUUUGAGCUAUAGAAAAAGUACCGCAAGGGAACGCUGAAAGAGAAAUGAAACAACCCAGUAAAGCAAUACAAAGCAGAGACUACCCCUCGUACCUUUUGCAUCAUGAUUUAGCUAGUACUUCCUAAGCAAAAAGAAUUUUAGUUUAGCCCCCCGAAACUAAGUGAGCUACUCCAAGACAGCCUAUCAAUAGGGCGCACCCGUCUCUGUGGCAAAAGAGUGGGAAGAGCUUCGAGUAGAGGUGACAGACCUACCGAACUUAGUUAUAGCUGGUUGCCUGAGAAUUGGAUAGAAGUUCAGCCCUCUGCCCUUCUUCAGUCAAGCUGAGUAUUACCUGCCCCGACUAGAAGAAUGCAAAGGAGUUAGUUAAAGGAGGUACAGCUCCUUUAUCACAAGACACAACUUUACCAGGUGGAUUAAGAUCAUAAUAGACCAAGGGAUCUGUGUUUGGGUGGGCCUAAAAGCAGCCAUCCCAAUAGAAAGCGUUAAAGCUCAAACACAAGCCCCCCCCCCCCAUAAUCCUGAUAACAAUUCUGAAUCCCCUAUUAAUACCAGGCCUUCCUAUGCAAACAUAGGACUGAUUAUGCUAAUAUGAGUAAUAAGAAAGAAAAGACUUUCUCCAAGCACAAGUGUACAUCGGAACGAACCCCCACCGAACAUUAAAGGACCCAACUACAGAGGGCAUUGAAAACGUCUUAGAAGACAAGAAGAACACUCAACCACUCACCUUUAACCCCACACUGGUGUGCGCACUAAGGAAAAACUAAAAGAGAAAGAAGGAACUCGGCAAACACAAGCCUCGCCUGUUUACCAAAAACAUCGCCUCUUGAAUCCCCCAUAUAAGAGGUCCCGCCUGCCCUGUGACUAUAAGUUUAACGGCCGCGGUAUCUUAACCGUGCGAAGGUAGCGCAAUCACUUGUCUCUUAAAUAGAGACCUGUAUGAAUGGCAUAACGAGGGCUUAGCUGUCUCCUUUCUCAAGUUAAUGAAAUUGACCUCCCCGUGCAGAGGCGGGGAUACAAACAUAAGACGAGAAGACCCUAUGGAGCUUUAGGCACUAGAGCUGACCACGUAAAAAGCCCCGCACAAGGGGAUAUAACUUUGUGGCCCCACUUCAACUGCCUUUGGUUGGGGCGACCGCGGGGAAAAACAAAACCCCCAUGUGGAACGGGGUCACUACAACCCUAGAAACAAGAGCACCCGCUCUAGUCAACAGAAAUUCUGACCUUACUGAUCCGGCGUCCAGCCGAUCAACGAACCGAGUUACCCUAGGGAUAACAGCGCAAUCCCCUUAUAGAGCCCAUAUCGACAAGGGGGUUUACGACCUCGAUGUUGGAUCAGGAUAUCCUAAUGGUGCAGCCGCUAUUAAGGGUUCGUUUGUUCAACGAUUAAAAUCCUACGUGAUCUGAGUUCAGACCGGAGUAAUCCAGGUCGGUUUCUAUCUAUGAUGUAAUUUAUUUCAGUACGAAAGGACCAAAAAAAUGAGGCCCCUGUCCCCAACAAGCCUCCCCCUCACUUGCUGACUCCUACUCAAGCAAACAAGAGGGUGCAAGCCUAAGCCAUAGAGCAUGGCAU
This 1688-nucleotide ribosomal RNA is filed under the name Aluterus scriptus (scrawled filefish). Its description in RNAcentral is "16S rRNA". The stretch from base 103 to 1576 matches the Rfam family "Bacterial large subunit ribosomal RNA". The record is from RNAcentral. Lineage: Eukaryota; Metazoa; Chordata; Actinopteri; Tetraodontiformes; Monacanthidae.